AACCUAAGACUAGGUAUUUCAACAGAUGGCAUGAAUCCGUUCUCCAUCCAGAACACCAACCACAGCACAUGGCCUGUUCUCUUGGUCAACUACAAUAUGUCUCCAACGCAGUGUAUGAGGUCCGAGAACAUUAUGUUGACCAUGCUAAUUCCUGGCCCAACCGCACCUAGCAACAAUAUUGAUGUAUAUCUACAGCCAUUGAUGGAAGACUUGCAGGAACUAUGGACAGAAGUGCACAUAGGUGGCUAAAGUUCAGUCGUAAACAUGUAUACAUGAAGAACUGGAGGCGGCUCAUGCCUAGUCAUCCAUACAGACGAAAGAAAGGAUGGUUUGACAAUACGGUUGAGGUUGGUUCUGCAAAGAGGAUUCAGAGCGGUUCAGAAAUAUUAGACAGUCUAAGGGACUUUAAAAACGAUUUUGGAAAACUCUUACCUAAGAAGAGUAAGAGAAAGAGGAGUGACGGAGAUGAGGAUGAUGUUGUUUCAGCUGAGGAGUACGAAGAAGAUCAUGAUAUGUGGCGGUGGAAGAAAAAAUCUAUUUUCUUUGACUUAUCUUAUUGGAAGGUAUUUUAUUUGAUUUACCUUCUUUAACUUACCUUAUUAGUCUGAAAUUGUUAAUAUUAUUUAUGCUAAAUACUUGUAAAAUUUUUUGUAGGAUAUGCCUGUGAGGCAUAACAUCGACGUGAUGCACGUGGAGAAGAAUGUGAGCGAUGCCCUGUUGUCUAUUCUGAUGAAUAGUUGCAAAUCAAAGGAUGGCCUGAAAGCGAGAAAGGAUUUAGAAGAUAUGGGUAUUCGAAGCAGCUUACAUACACAAGUAAGGGGGAAGAGAACUUAUCUGCCUCCAGCUGCGUCUUGGCUCUCUAAAGAAGAAAAAAAAAUUCUGCAGAAGAUUAUCCAACUUCAGAGUCCCUGAUGGAUAUUGUGCAAAUAUAUCCAAUUGUGUCUCACUGGAUCCUCCUUCUAUUGGCGGCAUGAAGUCACAUGACCAUCAUGUUCUUAUGCAGAAUCUGUUUCCGGUUGCGUUGAGAGGUUUACUCCCAAAAGGACCUCGGAUUGCAGUGAGUCGUAUGUGCAAUUACUUCAACAGAAUCUGUCAACGCGUUCUUGAUCCUGAGAAGCUACUUGCUCUAGAAACAGAGAUUGUGGAGACAAUGUGCCAGUUAGAGAGAUUCUUUCCACCUUCAUUGUUUGAUAUCAUGUUUCACCUUCCACUGCAUCUGGCGAGAGAAGCACGAUUGGGUGGCCCUGUACACUUCAGGUGGAUGUAUCCAUUUGAGAGGUAUAUGAAGACACUGAAGGCUUUUGUGAAGAAUUUCGCAAGACCUGAAGCUUGUAUGGCAGAGGGUUAUCUAGCUGGUGAAUGUCUUGCAUUUUGUAUGGAGUUCUUGCAGAAAUCGGUACCAGUUGAGGAACCAAUGACAAGAAAUGAAGAUUUAGAGGCACAUGAUAAUGUACUUGAAGGGCGCCCUCUUCAAAAAGCUACAGAAGUGAAACUUACUGAUAAGGAGAGAGAUGUAGCUCAUCGUUAUGUCCUCAUGAAUACUGCAGUGAUGGAUCCUUAUGUUCAAGGAACUUCAAGCAAAAGAUGGAAGAUGUGCAAGAAAUGGUACCAUAUUAUGGAAAACUCAUACAAAAAGGUUUUCGACAUGGAUAAAAGAUAAGGUAUGUGAUCUGGUCAUGGUAAUGAUAUUGAUAUGUGAUCUGGUAAUGAUAUUGAUAUGUGAUCUGUUCAUGCUAGAUACCAAAUAACUCAAAGGAUCAUUCUCAGCGGCUCAAUGUGUGAAUAUAUUUUACAUGAUUCAGGAUGUAGCUGCAUCUUUAGGAAAUGUUAAAAUAUUUGAUUACUGGAAACUAGAAGAGGAGUUGAUAGCUGAGGGUGUUUUGUUGACAACCGAACCUACUCACCUCGUCAACCAAAUUCCACUGGGACCGAAUGCAGCAGUUCUUAGAGUCGAAAUGGUUUUUAAACCUAAUGCCUUUAUCUGGAGACCUACACCUGAAAUGACAAAGAUGGGUGAUGCAGUACAUGGGACAAUAGCGUGGCCUCUAGAUAAGAUAAGACUACCUGAUCGAAAUUCUCCUACUGAUCAACAUUCACCUACUGAAUCAAACAAGAUAUCCAAUCAGAGUGGUGGUAACAGCACUAGUAGUAGCAACAAAGGUGGCAAACAGAAGGUUACUCUCUUGGACUGUCAUAACUUAGGACAGAGAGUUGCUUUAGGUCGUGUGUUCUCAACUGAUCCAGCAGAGAAAGUGCAUUUCGUUCCUUUAGGUCCCAAUGCUACGAAGGUUUGGGUAGAGGUUUCCGAGUUCGAUGGGGCUCGAGUGUGGAGGCCAAACUCUGAAAUCGAAUUCAUGGGUGAUGCAGUAGGAAGCACCGUGGCUUGGCCAAAUGAUAAGAUUGUGUAUCUCUAAGGAUGACAAUGUUGCUUUAGUGUGAAUUUAAAAUAUAUAAAUAUAUUAACAUAAUAUAUACAGCACAAAUGAAACUGCUAUAGUAGUACAUAUA
Molecule: RNA transcript, 2508 nt
Organism: Brassica rapa (field mustard)
Lineage: Eukaryota; Viridiplantae; Streptophyta; Magnoliopsida; Brassicales; Brassicaceae
Source: RefSeq, a predicted model, not a curated record